Molecule: ribosomal RNA, 492 nt
Filed under: uncultured bacterium
Lineage: Bacteria
Description: partial 16S ribosomal RNA
Rfam family: Bacterial small subunit ribosomal RNA
Source: RNAcentral
AGUGAACGCUGGCGGUAGGCCUAACACGUGCAAGUCGAACGGCAGCACAGUAAGAGCUUGCUCUUACGGGUGGCGAGUGGCGGACGGGUGAGGAAUACAUCGGAAUCUACUUUUUCGUGGGGGAUAACGUAGGGAAACUUACGCUAAUAUCGCAUACGACCUACGGGUGAAAGCAGGGGAUCUUCGGACCUUGCGCGAUUGAAUGAGCCGAUGUCGGAUUAGCUAGUUGGCGGGGUAAAGGCCCACCAAGGCGACGAUCCGUAGCUGGUCUGAGAGGAUGAUCAGCCACACUGGAACUGAGACACGGUCCAGACUCCUACGGGAGGCAGCAGUGGGGAAUAUUGGACAAUGGGCGCAAGCCUGAUCCAGCCAUACCGCGUGGGUGAAGAAGGCCUUCGGGUUGUAAAGCCCUUUUGUUGGGAAAGAAAAGCAGCAGGUUAAUACCCCGCUGUUCUGACGGUACCCAAAGAAUAAGCACCGGCUAACUUCGUG